CUUUCUACAGUCAAGAGCAAAAGUUUUUAAAACGGUGAAUUGUGGUGUUUAUGAUUAAAUAUCGCAAACUAGAAGUGUUUUUUUAAAAUAUAAUCGACAGUGCUUCUAAAUUAUUAAAAAACGGUAAGGAAAAAGUUAAAGAAUAAAUGCAAGGAGCGAAGGCUAUUGACUCGUUUGAAAUGCGUAGACGUAAUUAUUUG
Teleopsis dalmanni is the source of this 200-nucleotide long non-coding RNA. RefSeq lists it as uncharacterized. The transcript is spliced from 2 exons. The record is from RefSeq and is a predicted model, not a curated record. Lineage: Eukaryota; Metazoa; Arthropoda; Insecta; Diptera; Diopsidae.